GUGGGGAAUAUUGGACAAUGGGCGAAAGCCUGAUCCAGCCAUGCCGCGUGUGUGAAGAAGGUCUUCGGAUUGUAAAGCACUUUAAGUUGGGAGGAAGGGCAGUAAGUUAAUACCUUGCUGUUUUGAUGUUACCGACAGAAUAAGCACCGGCUAACUUCGUGCCAGCAGCCGCGGUAAUACGAAGGGUGCAAGCGUUAAUCGGAAUUACUGGGCGUAAAGCGCGCGUAGGUGGUUUUGUAAGUUGGAGGUGAAAUCCCCGGGCUCAACCUGGGAACUGCCUCCAAUACUGCAUGACUAGAGUACGGUAGAGGGUAGUGGAAUUUCCUGUGUAGCGGUGAAAUGCGUAGAUAUAAGAAGGAACACCAGUGGAGAAGGCGACUACCUGGACUGAUACUGACACUGAGGUGCGAAAGCGUGGGGAGCAAACAGGAUUAGAAACCCGUGUAGUCC
This 450-nucleotide ribosomal RNA is filed under the name uncultured bacterium. Its description in RNAcentral is "partial 16S ribosomal RNA". It matches the Rfam family "Bacterial small subunit ribosomal RNA", at positions 354 to 796 of the family's 1533-position model. The record is from RNAcentral.